CGCUGGCUUUGCUUUGGCCGUCUAGGCGAUCAGAAUACAGCUCCUUGGGCCUACCUGUGUGUAAAGCUUCCUUUUGUUCUCACAUGGAGGGGUGACUGACAGGGAAGUCACAGAAGAAACAAGUGCGGCAUCAGUAAGGACCGUCGUGACUAUGCUCUUUGAGUCUAACUGGAGGAAUGUAAAUCUGAGUCAAGUAGAUGUGUACCUAUGCCCUGCUGGGAACUUCAGAACAAUAUGUAAUCCACUGGAUGCAGGGAGUUCAAAGUGGAGCACUGAGAGCUUGUGAUGGGGAAGCUUUUAUUACAGUUUUCACAUUAGAUAGGUGGAUCUGCAAUGUAAGAAGUAUGAAAGUGCUGACAAUGUAAGAAGUAUGAAAGUGCUGACAUAAUUACAAUCCCAUCAUAAUUAUCUUAUUCCUGGCUUCAACAGGGACACAAAAUUUGUGUCUAUUGCUAUCUUGGGACCAGUGGAGGACCUUUAAACCUACUGAGAGGGAUCAAAGAGAUCUAACAGGUCUGUGGGGAAAAACCAGAGCAACACUACAUCUCCUGAGACACAAUAUGGUUCUAGUGUCUUUAAAAUUCAAUAAAAAUGGUAAUUAAUCACA
Molecule: long non-coding RNA, 607 nt
Organism: Numida meleagris (helmeted guineafowl)
Lineage: Eukaryota; Metazoa; Chordata; Aves; Galliformes; Numididae
Exons: 5
Source: RefSeq, a predicted model, not a curated record